RNAcentral lists this ribosomal RNA (253 nucleotides) under uncultured bacterium. RNAcentral describes it as "partial 16S ribosomal RNA". It matches the Rfam family "Bacterial small subunit ribosomal RNA", at positions 524 to 776 of the family's 1533-position model. The record is from RNAcentral.
UACGUAGGUGGCAAGCGUUGUCCGGAUUUACUGGGCGUAAAGAGCGCGCAGGCGGUCGUUCAAGUCGCGUGUGAAAGCCCCCGGCUCAACUGGGGAGGGUCACGCGAUACUGAUCGACUGGAAGGCAGGAGAGGGUAGUGGAAUUCCCGGUGUAGUGGUGAAAUGCGUAGAUGUCGGGAGGAACACCAAUGGCGAAGGCAGCUCACUGGGACGGUACUGACGCUGAGACGCGAAAGCGUGGGAAGCAAACAGG